This is a long non-coding RNA of Passer domesticus (house sparrow), 7381 nucleotides long. RefSeq lists it as uncharacterized. The transcript has 2 exons. Lineage: Eukaryota; Metazoa; Chordata; Aves; Passeriformes; Passeridae. The record is from RefSeq and is a predicted model, not a curated record.
AAAAAAGGGUGUCAUCUUUGCAUAUUGCACUUUGUCUUAUGCACUUGAUACACUGUCUAGAAAGUUUGUCUUUAGGCAAUCAGAUGGUGACAUAACAGAAAAAAACAAACCCAAAACAUAGUAGACCAGUUAUUUACUUUUUACUCCACUGGCAAAUUACCAUGUAUGGAUAACAUCACGUUCAGGUUUCACAACUGUGUUUAAAACUCUACCUGGUUUGAAUAUACUGCCAGCUGUCCAGCUGCUUUAAAACAAAUAGUGGAAAAUACACAUUUUAUAGUCCUGUUAUAUUUGGGUGGGGCAGUGUUUAGAAAGCAGUGAGUAAGAUUCACCUGUCUUUGCCUGGCCAGUAUUGUAAGGUAGUGUUUACUAAUUAUUGCACUUGAUAACAGGAGUUCAGCAGCAUACAGCCUGCAGAUUUCUUUCUUUUUGUGAGGGUGAGAAUGACCUUUUUCUGUUUCUUCAAAGAAGAGGUGUGAUGUAUGAAACAGCCUUUCAGUUUUACAUUAGAGGGAUAUUGUGUUAGUAAUCAAAUUGAAUUGGACUUGUGCUGAGCAUUAAGUAGUGUGCUUAUUGAAGAAACCCCCUAAAGGUUUAAAAAGCCUUCGUGUUAACAGUUGGUUUCAUGUAAAGAAAUCACUGGAACAAAAAUCCCUGUCCUGAAUUUUACCCUCUGCUGAGUGCCACUAACUUAAGAACUUAAGCCUUGGCUUUUGUUACAUCUGACUGGAGAUGUGUUUGGAGACCAGAAUCAUUUUCCACUGGAGCAGCAAGAAUCCAGAAUUUCAACAUCUCAUUCAGUUUUCUACCAUUAAAUUCCACUUUGCAUUGGGUCUAAAAUCCUUGUAACAAAUGCUGUGAUACUUGUUUUCAGCUUACUGUAUAUUAUGUUUUGCCAAAAAGGGAGAAUUGCUGAGCAGCAGCUGUGGAUGAAACCAUGCAUGGAUCUGCAGGGUUGGUGCUGUGUCAGUGAGGUGGCACUGCAUUGAUUUACCACUCCUCUAGACAAAUUAGCAUGUGAUUAUUUUUAGAGGUUGAGUAGCAGUGUUACAACACAUUCUUCUACACACAAGAGGAAUAAACGCCCUGCAGACACUGUGGCACUGGUGUGUUUGUGACAGCAGAUGGCAGUAGGAGUAAAGGAGUGAGGGUGGAAUGGCUUCUUUUAAAACUAUGGAAAAGUACUCACGGAGAGGCUCUCAAAAACUCAUCUUCUGUGUCAGUGUCUAAAGUGAAAUGGCAGGUUUUUAAAUGAAAUGGCAGUUUGUAAAACUGUCCUGAGUUUUUGGAAAUCUGGCCUGCAAUGUAUGGAGGGCUUUCUGUGCAUUUGUGGUGCAGUCCUUCAUUCAGUGGGUUCAAACACUGCCGGAGCAGAGACUCCUUAGUUUGGGGUGCUGCAUCUCGAGCUCAGCUGGCUCUGGAGAAUUCACUGUGCCCAACCACCUUGAACUUGAGGCCCCUGGAAUGGUGGCCUGGUUUAAAGAUCCUGCUUUUGAAAUCUCAAUAUGGGACACUGUGGAAACUGAAACUUGCAAAACUACUUUUUGGUUCUCAGUUUAUAUUCAACAGAUGUAGCAAAAUCAUGGAAAUCUCUUUUCCUUUGGAAACCUGGUUAAAUUUGCAUGAUAAGUUAAAAAACGUUAGGACAUCUCACUGAGUGGUAAUGGUAUUUUCAAAGGCCCUCAACAAAAUAUGAAGUGUUGCUUACACAUUUAGCACUGGAAUUUUGUUAUUUUCAGAAAUAUUAACUGUAUGACUAGUUAAAUAGUAAGUUAUAAUGAAAAAAUUAUUUUUCCAAACAAAAAGUUUACUUCUGUCCUUAGUAAUUAUUAUUAGCUCUAAUGCAAUAUUAACCAUGAGGCAGCUGAUGGCAAUACUUAAUAUCUUUUUUAUAUUAAAUCCUUAUUGUAAUGCUCACAUGUGCAAUAUUUACUCAAGAUGAAGUUAGAAUGAAUAACAACAUCAGAAACUACAAAAGAGAAAUAGCAGACAAAGUUGUAGUGAAAAGUAAAAGGUACAUUCUGGUUUCACAGGGUCUAAUUUAUACAAGCCUCAAAAAGGCAUGACAAUACAUCCCCUGAUUCAGACUGUGUUCUACAAUGUUCCUGAGGAAAAUUCUCAUAACUUUCUAUACUUCCUGACAUUUUCAUUCUUUUUAUUGUGUUAGUAGUAGUGAUAAAAGAUUAGACAGGUUUAAUACUUUGUAAUGAAUUUUGGCAAGACUUUAAUCUGAUCCCAGAAUUUAUGGAACAUUAGUAGAUGUCACAAUUGAUUUUUUCAAAAAGAGUCUGUGUUAUUGAAUAUAUCUGGAGCAUUAUUGAAGUGUCUGUUACAAUACAAAGGUGUCUCAGGCUUAUGUUUGUCAAAUCUGAAACAGGAGUAAGACUUCAGAGAGUGAUUUGGCACAUUCCCAUGUGAAACAUGUAAACUUCCUUAAAUACCUUAAUUAGUAGUAUAUGCUGCUGGAAUUAGGUUAAUCAGUGCAUUGCUAUGUAAAAGUGAUGUAUGGCUAGGAUGCAGUAAUUAGCAUUAGCAGCCUUGGAGUGCCAGACAGGUGUUCGGUGUUAAAUAAAGAGAUAUCUCUAAAUCAUGAGAGAUGUGCUUGUAGAUAUGAAGUGGUGCUAUGUCAUAAAUGUGGAUGCGUGUGUCCACUGGACUGCCAGUCAGCAGUACCAGGUUGAUUUCUACAAACAAAAAGAAUUGUUCUAUUUUCCCUUGGAGCACAUCUGUUCAGAGUGAACCCUGGGCCCUCUCUACCCUUAGUCAGACUCUUGUACCAGCACUUCCUGUGUAGUGUUGUGAAAGAACAGCAUGAUUUUUCAUCAAAAAUCAAAAUUUCUUUAUUUAGAAAGGGAAAAUAGUCUGCUUUCUGUAGAACUGGCAGAAGGAUGGAGAUGAAGUAUGAGUAGCAGAGACCUGAGGUAGCUUUGUAAGUGAAUUGACUGCUCUGUAGAUGCUGGUGCUUUUCUCUGGAUCCAGCUCUGUAGAGAAGAAUGACUCCAAAGUGCAGUUGUAUUGAGCUGAGAAUCUUGUUUCUUAUGAACUGCUCUACAAAUCUUUGUAGUCAUGUUUCUUUUGUCUACAUACUGAUUUUUCUGAUAAAGAUUAAGUAGUUUUCUAGAAAUUGUAGAAACUAUUGCAAAGAGAUUGGUAUCUUCUGAUAAUCUUAUACAUAUGUAAACUGUAAGUGGCUUGUGCUUUUUAUUGGUUGUAAAAAUCCAAAGUAAUGUGGAGAGGUUCUCCACUGCACACUAAAAAUAUAUUUGUUCCAAAUUUUCUCUUAAAGUCUUUUUUAUAGAAAUUCAGGAGCACAAGAGAACCAUUAUUGAUCAUGAAAUAAGUUACAUAACCCAAGAAAAAUUUGAGAGAACACCUUUAAGCUCUGGUGUGAACUGUGUUGUCUGAGGUGGUACUGUAAGAAUAGCCACAGGUUCAUAUUUCUGCACAAUUUCUUAUUUCUGCAGGCAGUAAGUCUUUGGGCUUUUUUAUUGUUGGUAGGGUUUUUCAUUAUGAUUUUUGAAAUCCCUUCUAUAAAUAUUAACUUUAGCAGAACUGAAACUGCAUUUCAUAUUCUGCAAAGUAAAAAUUUCCAUCUCAAAUGCCACGUCUGGUAGCCCAUAGGAUUCACUCUUGCAGCUGUUUUCUCAGAAGCACACAAAUAUCUCCUGAAGUAAUCUAAUAAUAGAAAGAAUUAAAGAAUUAGCAUCCCAGUGCUUUUUUAUGAAUACUGCUUGAUGUUUUCUCCAGUUCAUUCUGAGCAUUGUGAUCAGGACUGGAGUAACUCAAGGGGAGGACCUGUAACACCAUCUUUCAAUCUUGCACUGUAAAAAAAAAGAGUAAUAUUUCUCAGCUUUUCAUAAAACUAAAUGUCCUUUAUCGGGGAUUAAGGGAAACUUCAAGGUAUCCCAGUACCAUAACACAUGAAUGUAAAAUGAAAAAUAAUGUAAAUCAAAUCCAGUACCUUCUGAAAUGAGUUGCCUGAAGGUACUGAACUAUAAUGUCAAAAUUUAAAGCAACUGUGAAAUGUUAAUUUGUGAAUACAUGGAGUUAAAUGCCUCACAGUUGGCAUUUCACUGUGCUUAUUUAACAGCCUGCCAUUUCAGCAUUUAAUCCUAUCAAAAGAAAGAAGAAGGAUUAAAGCAAGAAAAGCUUUUUGAAAAUGUCACUUUUUAUGAAAAUUCAUGAUCUUGUAAAACUUGGUAAUAUUUGUAAAUACAAUGGGGAAUAGUUCUGAGAUUUGUGCCUUACAUAAUAUUCUGUAAUCUGUCUUUCAAAUAAACUUGAAGGCCAUCAGGAUUUUUUCAGUUUCAUCCUAAACAUUUAAGCUUUUUGACUUGGGGCUUCAGAAAGCUUUACUGUGGUUUAAUGAACAACCUUCUGUGAAAAUGCACUGUAGUUCUUUAUUACUUAGAAACUGUUGAAUAUGAACAUUAAAAAAACCCCACCAAAACCCCACUGACAGAGGGGUUUAUUUCAGUGUAUAUUCAGACAGUUUUUAGAGCUCAAUGCCAUUAUUCCAGUCGCAGCCUGACCUGGAACAGAAUGUGCAUCCAAGCCUGGGGCUUCCCUUCCCUGCACCUUUUUCUCCCUAUGUCCAAAUUUGACAUUAUGAUUUUCCCUGGAGUCCUACAGUCGUUGACUGCAUGCAACAAAUCUGACUUGCUGAGUUUCAAAUUUAAAAUAGUAGAUGAAAAGAUUAAUGGAUAAAAUAACUUGAGUGAGAAGAAGCUGUGCUGAGCAAUGCUUAGUGCUCUCUGUGUUCUUGCACUUCCCCAUCCCUAGCUCUUACUCUGAGUUGCCAGUAAGGCUGAUUCCUGGUCCUUGGAUUUAGGAGGAGCUCUUCUGCUACUUGUCUUGCAUAGUGAAAGAAGUUUGAUUUGAUGCCACCUAAUUCCAGCUGAAACCUCCAUUAGAUUUUGUAGCCAAGUUGUAUUCAGAUGCCAUUGGUGAUACUGUCUAUCCAGCUGAGGUUUUCCAAGCUGAUAUUUUGCAAGGCAUUGACCUCUGAAAAUGUGGCAGUGGCCUCCUGAUUCAUCAGAGUCAUGAAAGAGGCUCCAGCCUUUUAGUUGUUAUGUUGUGUGAAUUGUCCUUAGUAAGACUUUUCUGUUUGACUGUUCCAGGACAAAAGCUAGAUGAAACUUCAGGCUUACUCAGGAUUAGUUCUGUUCUGUUUUUUACACAGCUGAUCUGAAAAGAAACCCAUUUUUUCUGUGUUUUUACUCAUGGAUUAGCCAACCUGUACUACAGAUUCUGUGAGUUACCUUUCAGUUGACUAUUUUAUGUAUCAUCCUGAUGGUACGCAGUUUGACUCUCAUUGUAAGCUUUUCUUGUCAUACUUUUAAUGUACUGGUUAAUAUUUAAAGGUAUAAUUUACUGUUUACUUAAUGUAACUAUUAAGUAAACAGUAAAUUAUAGCUCUUCCUUAGAAAUGCUUAUAAAACUGAAGACUGUUUCAGAGUCCCACCUGGUGUGGUGCUGAUGAUUCCUUUUUUUUUCCCUGUUCUUAUUGCCUGUUCUGUAAAAGGUCCAAAUAUUGAAUGCAGUAAAGAGUUUUAAGUAGGUUUUACAGCAGCUGUCUUUCUCAUUUGCAAAGAAAUUGAUUUACAGUGAUAGCUGAUCUUGCUAAGUAAAUAGAUGGCUGAUGCAUGAAUGCUAACUGUGUUUGUAUAAACAGUAUGGCUUAUUGUAAGAGAGAUAAGAGUGUUUUAUUGACCAGAGUACACAGAGUGGUUCCUGGGUAAUUCAGUAUUUCUGGAAUGACUUUUUCAAUUAUUUUAUUACAUCCUAUUGCAAAGUUACACAGCCAGAUGAGCUGGCAGCUUGGAGGCUGCCUCACAUGGCUGAAGCGGAAGGGAAGGGACUUGGUUAAACACAGAUGUCUACAGCCACCUGUGGAAAAAUAAGCUAGUUCUAUUCUCAUUGGUUUGUAGUUUGUUUUCCUCUUUAGCUUUCCGGUUUAAUUUUAAAAUAUAUUUUCUCUGAUAACCUUGUAAUGGUUUGCCUUUUCCUAACGUAGUUUUUCUUUCAGUUUGAAAGGCUGGGAUCUGCUCUUACAAAGGAGGUAGUAACUGGAGCUAAUUUACUCAUGUGUAUGGAUUUUAGUGAUGUUGCAAUGUUUCCCUACCAAAUCAAGAUCUCAUCAAGAUGGGCAGGUUGACAGCUGUUUUCCUUCCACUGGUGAAUAGUUAUGUAUCCCAAAAUAAUGAAGAAGGGGAGUCUGUGCUUGCAUGUGUAAUUACUGAACAGAAAUGUUUUCCAGAGAGAAAGCCUGAGACUGCGUACAAAGCUGUGGGAAAGGGGCCCGUGGCAGUUGCUCAGUGGGAAUUUGUCUGAGCGUUACUGCCACGAGCAGUUCAUCAUCUGGAAGUUCAUCUUGCAGUUAAGGAAGAGAAAAUUACGUUGGAGUUUCUGCAGAUUGUCAAAGGAUAGGCAAGUGCUUGUAGUUGUCACAGAACAGCUGAUGUUAACUUCUGCCCUUCAGGAAUCUGAUAUUGUCCUUGCUUCCAAGUAUAAAUAUCUCACCUGUUUAUGGACUUGGAGUGCUUAAUAACUACUGGGAAGAUCAUACAGAAAAUCUCAGCUGCUUGAUUCUGAUUCUUAUUUUUUGCUUACACUGGCUAAAUUAACAAUUACGUUAGCUUAAAAAGUAUCAUCAGGUUGCAUACCAGGAAGAAAUUUGGAAUGGAGAUUUAAAAAAAUAUCCUAAUUAAUAACUGUAAAGUAAUUAUUUAUAUUAAUUAUUUAACUAGUAAACCUACCAUUCUUUAACACAGGUAUUUGAUGCCCUUCAAUGGGAUAGAAAUGAAUUUUCAUGCACCACAAAUAGUUGAUGUCUAGUCAUUUUAAAUUUUAUGGUUUGAGUGUCAAAAUACACGUAUAAAAUGUGCUGAGUGACUGCAAAGAAAGCCUUUAAUUUUGUGGGAGGAAUUCCUUAUUCUGAGUACAGUCUAAUGUAUUGUAACUGUUUUUAUGAAGUCAAAUGCUUUAAGUAGUUCAGAUUCUUGAACUCAGGGUAAUGCAGUGUUGUUACAUGUGUCACAUCUUGCUUUCCUAGAAUGUAAUUAUUUAACUGAACAUUAUCUCAAAUCAACUGUUUAUCUUUUUUCUUUCUUUCUCCCUCUUCAAUCACAAGCUGAACCAGAAAUUAGGUGUUUGUCUCAGUCUUACAAGUCUCUUUUAGGUCUGGUGGAGCUCAAGACAUGGAUGCCACACAGAGUGAAUGAGAACAGUGGUAUAUUUAUACAGUUAUCUAUGGUUACUGCAUUACCUGUUACUGUGGCUGUUCUAUGUCUGUAGAAUAGCAGGAGUGGAAUCUCACUUUGUGGGCAAAAGUAAAUAUUAAGAUAAUUAUCAGUGCAAGAUAAGGGAUUCUUAUUGGUGA